RNAcentral lists this ribosomal RNA (253 nucleotides) under uncultured bacterium. RNAcentral's name for it is "partial 16S ribosomal RNA". It matches the Rfam family "Bacterial small subunit ribosomal RNA", at positions 524 to 776 of the family's 1533-position model. The record is from RNAcentral.
UACAGAGGUCCCAAGCGUUGUUCGGAUUCACUGGGCGUAAAGGGCGCGUAGGCGGCGGGGUAAGUCUGGUGUGAAAUCUCGGAGCUCAACUCCGAAACUGCACUGGAUACUGCUCUGCUAGAGGGCUGGAGAGGAGAUCGGAAUUCACGGUGUAGCAGUGAAAUGCGUAGAUAUCGUGAGGAAGACCAGUGGCGAAGGCGGAUCUCUGGACAGCUCCUGACGCUGAGGCGCGAAGGCUAGGGGAGCAAACGGG